This 253-nucleotide ribosomal RNA is filed under the name uncultured bacterium. RNAcentral's name for it is "partial 16S ribosomal RNA". It matches the Rfam family "Bacterial small subunit ribosomal RNA", at positions 524 to 776 of the family's 1533-position model. The record is from RNAcentral.
UACGUAGGGUGCGAGCGUUGUCCGGAUUUAUUGGGCGUAAAGAGCUUGUAGGCGGCUCGUCACGUCGGGUGUGAAAACUCGCGGCUCAACCGCGAGCCUGCACCCGAUACGGGCGGGCUAGAGUUCGGCAGGGGAGACUGGAAUUCCUGGUGUAGCGGUGGAAUGCGCAGAUAUCAGGAGGAACACCAAUGGCGAAGGCAGCUCGCUGGAACGGUACUGACGCUGAGGCGCGAAAGCGUGGGGAGCGAACAGG